GACGAACGCUGGCGGCGUGCUUAACACAUGCAAGUCGAACGGUGAACCAGAGCUUGCUCUGGGGAUCAGUGGCGAACGGGUGAGUAACACGUGGGCAACCUGCCCCAGACUCUGGGAUAACCUCGGGAAACCGAUGCUAAUACCGGAUACGACCACUUCGGACAUCCGACGGUGGUGGAAAGUUUUUCGGUCUGGGAUGGGCCCGCGGCCUAUCAGCUAGUUGGUGGGGUAAUGGCCUACCAAGGCGACGACGGGUAGCCGGCCUGAGAGGGCGACCGGCCACACUGGAACUGAGACACGGUCCAGACUCCUACGGGAGGCAGCAGUGGGGAAUAUUGCACAAUGGGCGAAAGCCUGAUGCAGCGACGCCGCGUGAGGGACGACGGCCUUCGGGUUGUAAACCUCUUUCAGCAGGGACGAAGCGAAAGUGACUGUACCUGCAGAAGAAGCACCGGCUAACUACGUG
RNAcentral lists this ribosomal RNA (466 nucleotides) under uncultured bacterium. RNAcentral's name for it is "bacterial SSU rRNA". It matches the Rfam family "Bacterial small subunit ribosomal RNA", at positions 28 to 507 of the family's 1533-position model. RNAcentral also lists the same sequence under 1 other name. The record is from RNAcentral.